Molecule: non-coding RNA, 45 nt
Filed under: Echinostoma caproni
Lineage: Eukaryota; Metazoa; Platyhelminthes; Trematoda; Plagiorchiida; Echinostomatidae
Source: RNAcentral
GCACUGCUGACGAGUCCCAACCAGGACGAAGCAGCUGUCAAGUGC